Long non-coding RNA from Rhagoletis pomonella (apple maggot), 654 nucleotides. RefSeq lists it as uncharacterized. NCBI's taxonomy places the organism in Eukaryota, Metazoa, Arthropoda, Insecta, Diptera, Tephritidae. The record is from RefSeq and is a predicted model, not a curated record. The transcript is spliced from 2 exons.
UCCUAUGCUGGGCCGCCAAAGUGUUUCGAAUGCCAAUAACGGUAACGACUUUGAAAUGCUCAGUCAGAGCAUCCAGUACGCUGGUGGAAACGAACGGUAAAACUACGCGAGCGCGUGUCUACGAAGUUUCGAACGGCAAACGGUUUUUAAAUAGUGAAUUUUCAAUGGCGACCCUAGCAGAGUGAGCUGCGGUAAAAUCAAAGAUUCCGGUGUGCAUAAUGAAAAACAUUGAAUCGAGAAAAACUUACAAAUAGAAUUAAAAAACAAGCAGUAAUUAAAACUGCCGGAAAAAACUGGCUGAGUGACGUUUUUCUGUGAAGGGAAAUUCACGCAAAGCGGUCUUCCCAUAACGCAUUCUUUCGCCAUCGUGAUUAGCGCUGCUUGACUGAGUUAGUGCAUGCGUACUGAAUUAAUAAAUUCGGCAAAUUCUUGGAGAGAAUUAAAAGUCGUUAUGAAAUAGCAAAAUCUAAGCACAGUGAAACAAAUGCGUUAAACGAAUGUGAAGUGAAUUUUCUUGUGAAACUCAGAGGUUGAUGAAAUAUAUGUAAAGCGUGGCAUGAGCCCCAAGUUGUGUAUAAAUUGAAAGAGUUUAUACAAAUCUAAACUACAAAACAAAAAACGUCUAAACUGCGUUAAGAAAAAACAUAUUUCAAU